CAUAAUCACUUGCCUUUUAAUUGAAGGCUAGAAUAAAUGGAUCCACGAGACUCUAACUAUCUUAUUUAAACAUUAAUAAACUACACCCCAAGUGAAGAUUCUUGGAUAUAUUUGAAAGACAAGAAGACCCUAUAGAGUUUAAAUUUUAUACUCCACAAUACUACCACAAUUUUGGUUGGGGCGACCAAGGAUUUAUUAUAAACAUCCUACUAAAUCUAAGAAUACUCUAUAAAACAAUCCCUAAAAAGGAAAUGUAAUUAACUACCUUAGGGAUAACAGGCUUAUCUUCCUAAAGAGCCCAAAUCGACAGGAAGGUUUGGCACCUCGAUGUUGGCUUAGAGAACCCAAAUAAAGUAAAAAUUAUUAUGGUUAGUUUGUUCAACUAUUAAAUCUCUACGUGAUCUGAGUCAGACCGGACA
RNAcentral lists this ribosomal RNA (419 nucleotides) under Hodor anduril. RNAcentral's name for it is "partial 16S ribosomal RNA". It matches the Rfam family "Bacterial large subunit ribosomal RNA", at positions 1960 to 2628 of the family's 2925-position model. Lineage: Eukaryota; Metazoa; Annelida; Polychaeta; Phyllodocida; Polynoidae. The record is from RNAcentral.